Molecule: ribosomal RNA, 502 nt
Filed under: uncultured bacterium
Lineage: Bacteria
Description: partial 16S ribosomal RNA
Rfam family: Bacterial small subunit ribosomal RNA
Source: RNAcentral
GACGAACGCUGGCGGCGUGCCUAAUACAUGCAAGUCGAACGAACCGCGACUAGGUGCUUGCACUUGGUCAAGGUGAGUGGCGAACGGGUGAGUAACACGUGGGUAACCUACCUCAUAGUGGGGGAUAACAGUCGGAAACGACUGCUAAUACCGCAUAGGACAUAGGAUCACAUGAUCCAGUGAGGAAAGGUGGCGCAAGCUAUCGCUAAGAGAUGGACCCGCGGUGCAUUAGCUAGUUGGUAGGGUAAAGGCCUACCAAGGCGAUGAUGCAUAGCCGACCUGAGAGGGUGAUCGGCCACAUUGGGACUGAGACACGGCCCAAACUCCUACGGGAGGCAGCAGUGGGGAAUCUUCCGCAAUGGACGCAAGUCUGACGGAGCAACGCCGCGUGAGUGAAGAAGGUCUUCGGAUCGUAAAGCUCUGUUGUUAGAGAAGAACAGCGCAUAGAGUAACUGUUAUGCGUGUGACGGUAUCUAACCAGAAAGCCACGGCUAACUACGUG